RNAcentral lists this small nuclear RNA (99 nucleotides) under Otolemur garnettii (small-eared galago). RNAcentral describes it as "7SK RNA". The record is from Rfam by way of RNAcentral. Lineage: Eukaryota; Metazoa; Chordata; Mammalia; Primates; Galagidae.
GUGAAGCAAUUAGGCUGCAACAUCUGUCAUUCUAUUGAUCUCUUGGAUUGAUUCCAUUUAUCUGGUGGGCCAGGCCAGUGUCCCCAACUACUUCACCUC